UACGGGGGGGGCAAGCGUUGUUCGGAAUUACUGGGCGUAAAGGGCGUGUAGGCGGCCAACUAAGUCCGACGUGAAAUCCCUCGGCUUAACCGGGGAACUGCGUCUGAUACUGGAUGGCUUGAAUUCGGGAGAGGGAUGCGGAAUUCCAGGUGUAGCGGUGAAAUGCGUAGAUAUCUGGAGGAACACCGGUGGCGAAGGCGGCAUCCUGGACCGACAUUGACGCUGAACGGCGAAAGCUAGGGGAGCAAACGGG
RNAcentral lists this ribosomal RNA (253 nucleotides) under uncultured bacterium. RNAcentral's name for it is "partial 16S ribosomal RNA". It matches the Rfam family "Bacterial small subunit ribosomal RNA", at positions 524 to 776 of the family's 1533-position model. The record is from RNAcentral.